AUGGGUCAUAGAACCGAGUGGUGUAAAGACCCCGCCACACCUGUGUGUUGGGCACUCGGCUUCAAGUUGUCAGCUCUCGCCUCAAGGACUCCACCCUCUGUCCCCAGUCACUCUGACACCCAGAAUGUUUGGGUGGCAGCUGGUGGACUCAGCUCUGUGCUGGGAUUCCUCCUCCAGAGUCUGUGCCGGCUGGCCCAGACCCUCAGGGGCGCCCAGCUCUGGGCCUGGCUGGCCUGCCUCCUGCUUGCUUCCCUGGCUCAGCACCAGGCCCCGAGCCCGCGGGCCCUCCCAGCCCACCCUGCAGCGCACGCGUUGAGCUCCGAGACACUCCUCCCCUUUCCAGAUGCAGACUUUUUGUUUUUUUCUUUUCCAUUAUGUUCUUUUAAUUGUUCUUUAACUUGCAGCCCAUGGGAUCUUCACUGCGGUGUGGGAAUCUACAGUCGCGGCAGGCAGGACCUAGCUCUCCAACCAGGGAUGACACCUGGGUCCCUGCUUCGGGACGGCGGAGUCUUAACCCCCAGACCACCAGGGAGGCCCCUCCGCUGUGGUUCAGUGGAAGGAGCUGAGUAUAGUUUUCUGUGCUACGGGGCAGACCCUUAUCGCUCACCCACUCUGUAAUAGUUCACCUCUACUGAUCCCAAACUGCCCCCCCUCCCUCCCCCCCCCGCCCCCCCCCCCCCCCCCCCCCCC
RNAcentral lists this long non-coding RNA (690 nucleotides) under Ovis aries (sheep). RNAcentral describes it as "lncRNA (ENSOARG00000025714.1)". The record is from RNAcentral. Lineage: Eukaryota; Metazoa; Chordata; Mammalia; Artiodactyla; Bovidae.